RNAcentral lists this ribosomal RNA (2984 nucleotides) under Picea glauca (white spruce). Its description in RNAcentral is "bacterial LSU rRNA". It matches the Rfam family "Bacterial large subunit ribosomal RNA", at positions 342 to 2925 of the family's 2925-position model. Lineage: Eukaryota; Viridiplantae; Streptophyta; Pinopsida; Pinales; Pinaceae. The record is from RNAcentral.
UUGGUAAUUAUCACAAAAUCAGGUAAGCUCAUCAUGUAUCUAAUCCCACCUAGAUAUUUCUACAAUUGGUCCAAUUGUCUCUUGAGCAUUCUUGCUUCUUUAUUUGGAGGUCGAUUGAAUCGUCAUGUAUCUUGUUCUUUUUUUAAAUCCUUGAACUUCUGAGGUCUCGUCUCUGUAGUAGACCAAUUAGUUAACAUACCACCAAGCCAUUUUCUAUUUACAUAAUGACAUUGAGCUUCUAUAGUAGCUAAUGCUACUAACUUGAUAUUUUGUACUGACUAUCGGGAAUUGUGUUCGCCUACCUUCUAUAUCAAAUGCCAAAUCACAAUCUUCUAAUAAAGAACGAGCAGUUUUAGCCAGAUUUAUAAUAUGAGUAUCUUUACGCUCUGUAAAAAUGUAAGGUGCCCCAAGUAGCAUGGGGCACGUGGAAUCUUGUGUGAAUUAGCAAGGACCAUCUUGCAAGGCUAAAUACUCCUGGGGAUCGAUAGUGAAGUAGUACAGUGAGGGAAAGGUGAAAAGAACCUCCAUCGGGGAGUGACACAAAACAUGAAACCGUAAGCUCCCAAGCAGUGGGAGGAAAAUGAUAUCUCUGACCGCGUGCCUAUUGAAGAAUGAGCUGGUGACUUAUAGGCAAUGGCUUGGUUAAGGGAACCCACUGGAGUCAUAGCGAGAGUGAGUCUUCAUAGGAAAAUUGCCACUGCUUAUGGACCCAAACCUGGGUGAUCUAUCCAUGACCAGGAUGAAGCUUAGGUGAAACUAAGUGGAAGUCUGAACCGAAUGAUGCUGAAAAAUCAGCAGAUGAGUCAUGGUUUGGGGUGAAAUCCUAGUCAAACCCAGAGCUAGCUAGUUCUCCCUAAAAUGUGUUGAGGCAUAAUAGUUGAUUGGACCAUCUAGGGGUAAAGCACUGUUUCGGUACAGGCCGCGAGAGAGGUACCAAAUUGAGGAAAACUCUGAAUACUAGAUUGCCCCAAUAAAAGGGGUAAAGGUCAGCCAGUGAGAUGAUGGGGGAUAAGAUUCAUCAUCGAGAGGGGAACAACCCAGAUCAUCAGCUAAUGCCCCUAAAUGACCACUUAGUGAUGAAGGAAGUACGAGUGCAAAGACAACCAAGAGGUUUUCCUAGAAGCAUCCAACCUUGAAAGAGUGCGUAAUAGGUCACAGAUCGAGCGAUCUUGCACUGAAGAUGAAUGGAACUAAGAGAUAUGCCAAAGCUGUGGGAUGUAAAAAUACAUUGGUAGGGGAGAGUUGCUCCUCAAGGGGAAGCACCGACACGAGAAGGUUUGGACGAAGCGGAAGAAAGAAUGUCGUCUUGAGUAACACAAACAUUGGUGAGAAUCCAAUGCCUUGAAAACCUAAGGGUUCCUCCGCAAGGUUCAUCCAUGGAGGGUGAUUAAAGGCAUAAGAUCACACUGAAAGGCAUAGUCGAUGGACAACAGGUAAAUAUUCUUGUACUAGCCCUUGUUGGUCCUAAGGGAUAGAGGAGGCUAGGUUAGCCGAAAGAUGGUUAUCGGUUCAAGGAUGCAAGGUGACCCUGCUUUUUGUAGGGUAAGAAGGGGUAGAUAAAAUGCCUCCAGUCAAUGUCCGAGUACCAAGUGCUACAUUGCUGAAGUAACCCAUGCCAUACUCCCAGGAAAAGGUUGAACGACCUUUAACAAAUGGGUACCUGUACCCGAAACUGACACAAGUAGGUAGGUGGAGAAUACUUAGGGGCGCGAGACAACUCUCUCUAAGGAACUUGAAAAAAUAGCCCCGUAACUUCAGGAUAAGGGGUGCCUCCUCAGAAGGUCGUAGUGACUAGGCCCGGGUGAAUGCUUACCAAAAAAACAGGUCUCUGCAAAGUUGUAAGACCAUGUAUGGAGGUUGAUGCCUACCUAGUGCUGGAAGGUUAAGGAAGUUUGUGACCUAAUGACAGGGAAGCCAGUGACCGAAGCCCUGGUGAAUGGAAGUCGUAACUAUAACAGUUCUAAGGUAGAGAAAUUCCUUGUCAGGUAAGUUUUGACCUGCACGAAAGGCGUAAUGAUCUUGGCACUGUCUUGGAGAGAGACUCGGUGAAAUAGAAAUGUCUGUGAAGAUCUAGACUACUUGCGCCUAGACAGAAAAACCCUAUGAAGAUUUACUGUUCCCCAGGAUUGUCUUUGGGUUCUUCUUACGUAGCUUAGGUAGAAGGUGAAGAAGGCUCCCUUCUAGGGGGGCUUGAGCCACCAAUGAGAUACCACUCUGGAAGAGCUAGAAUUCUAACCUUGUGUCAGGACCUAUGGGCCAAGGGGCAGUCUCAGGUAGACAAUUUCUAUGGGGUGUAGGCCUCCCAAAAGGUAACGAAGGAGUUAAAAGGUUUCCUCAAGCCAUACAGAAAUCGACCCUCGAUUGAAAAGGAAGAAGGGAUAUUGAUUGCAAGAACCACCCGUUGAGCAAGGAUGAAAUUCGGCCUUAGUGAUCUGAUGGUGUCUAGUGGAAGGGUCGUCGCUCAAUGGAUAAAAGUUACUCUACGGAUAACAGGUUGAUCUUCCCCAAGAGUUCACAUCAACAGAAAGGUUUGGCACCUCGAUGUCAGCUCUACGCCACUUGGGGCGGUAGUACAUUCCAAGGGUUGGGUUGUUCGCCCAUUAAAGCGGUACAUGAGCUAGGUUUAGAAUGUCAUGAGAUAGUUCGGUCCAUAUCUGGUGGGGGCAUUAGAGCAUUGAGAGGACCUUUACCUAGUACAAGAGGACCGGGAAGGAUGCACCUCUAGUGCACCAGUUAUCUUGCCCAUGGUAGACGCUGGGUAGCCAAGUGCAUAUCGGAUAACUACUGAAAGAAUAUAAGUAGGAAGCCCACCCCAAGAUGAGUUCUCUCUUAUUCUUACUUCCCUAAGAGCCCUAGUCGUGAACACGGCUAGGACAAUGAUGGGUUCUCUGUCAUUGCAGGGGAUGGAGUGACAAAAGUAUUGAAAAUAUAAGAUAAGGUCACGAUGAGGUGAGUCAUUUAUCAUUAGGAUAGGUGUCAAGUGG